This is a long non-coding RNA of Zonotrichia leucophrys gambelii, 1697 nucleotides long. RefSeq lists it as uncharacterized. NCBI's taxonomy places the organism in Eukaryota, Metazoa, Chordata, Aves, Passeriformes, Passerellidae. The transcript has 3 exons. The record is from RefSeq and is a predicted model, not a curated record.
UCAUCUUACCCUAACCCAUAGUUCAGUUCCAAUGAACUGAGGGUUCAGAGGGAAAAAAAAAAUCAAUCUUCAGGUGAAAUUACAGGAGAUCAGUGAGCCUUGAAGGUCCUGCUCUUCUUGCCUGCUCCCAGCACACGGCCCCACUCCUGUGCUCAGCUGGGCACCUUUGUGAAACCAUUCCUGCAUAUUCAGCUGCAUAAGGGAGAUCCUUAUCUGCGGGUUACUGAGCUCAAUGGCUUCACAGAAGAUAUCCAACAAAGGACAGGAAAAAAAAAAUUCAACUUGGAAGGAAGAAAUGAAGGAACCAGAGAAGCAAAUUGUUUUGUCAGCUUAAUUUCUGAAGUAGAUGACUGCUCUGGAGGAUCAAACAAAUGGCAGAAGCAGAAAAAUAGGAAAGAGCAGGAAUCCACAGCUGAAGGAUGUUUACAUUCUGCCUUUUACAGCGCUGUGAAUAUGGAAUCUCAUCUGCACAGUAACUCUCAGUCUCCUUCCCACUGGCAGCAGAAAAGCAGCUGGCAGAGGCAGGAGCUGCCACAGCAGCAGAGCUGGGUCCUGGCACCACAACUGAUGCAAGUCAGCAGGCCUGGGCACGCCAAAGCAGCAACCCCCAGUCCUUCACUUGCCCCCAGUAAAGCUGGAGAUAAAAGAACAGCACAAAAAUGAUGACAGGAUUAAAUUUGCCCAAUUUUAAACACAUCAGUGCUAUCAGAAGCCACAGCAGCUGUAAAGUGGCCUGGACUUACAUUUCAGUGCUGUCAUUAACACACCCAAAUAUUUCAACGCCUUUCAAUGGAAAAUAAUUCAUUAAGGAAGCAAAGCUGUAAGAAAAGAGUGAAGGAGGCUUCAAGACAACUAGAAGAUGGCAAUUAUAUAACUCUAUGAACUUCCUGAAGUAUUUCAGAUGUCAUUUUCAAAUAAACCACUCUAAAUAAAAUGAAGAAAUAUCUAGUAUUUGUUAUGAGAAUGAGUUGGAAAAUAUUUCUUGCUAUGUUUAAGACAGAAACAUCCUGAGGUUUUUCAUAUACCAGAUAUCUUUUAGAGGAAAGAGAGACAAGAAAAUACACACAUUUUUUAAAUUAUUGAGAAGAUAAAUAUAACUCCCCAUAGAAGAAACUAGGUACUAAAAAUUCUUUCACCACAACAAAUUCUGUGUUUGGCAUGAGUAAAAAAAAAAUUCUUUAAUAUUACUCUACUGAACAAAAUGAAAUGUUUGUGCCAGGUCUCUGAGUUUUGUAAGGCCUGCUUACUUGGUGAAAAGAGCCUGUUACCAUGGUUACAGCCGUAAAAACUUAAGCCUCAGUGAGAUAUUAACAUUCCUUACUCUUGGAAAGAAAAAGGUUUCCUUUUUUUAGGCAAGUGACCCUUUCUUUUUUCCAAGGUUCCCCCCCUUUCUUUUACAUGUUAGAAAAGAAUCAGAAAUAAAUCCUAAUCUUGUGUAAAUAGUUGAAGAUGUGAAGCCUGACUAGUACAUUGUUUCUGUACCAAAGCAUCUUCUUUUAAAGGCAAGGCUCCUUCCAGUUGUACCUAGUCCUUAACAAAAUGAAAGUAAAUCACCAAAAGCAAACAAAUGCUAUGGAUUUCAAGUAACCUGCUUCUAAAAUUAAACAACCAUGGAGUAAAGAUGUCCUUGUUUGAAUUGUGACCUGAGAGUGUCUCCUGGCUUUGUUUUUUAGCAGAACUAUGCAUUCCACACUGUU